RNAcentral lists this long non-coding RNA (944 nucleotides) under Equus caballus (horse). RNAcentral describes it as "lncRNA (ENSECAG00000043308.2)". The record is from RNAcentral. Lineage: Eukaryota; Metazoa; Chordata; Mammalia; Perissodactyla; Equidae.
GCUGCUUCUCUGAGAUACUUCAUCUACCACUUCUGUCAAGAUCCUCUUUAAAGCUCCCCCGUCCAGUGUAAUUUUUUCUAAUAACGCUCUCCAUGCUGGCUCAUUGCUGUGCUCCCAUCAAUACACUCACUGCUCUCUCUGGGCCUCUGAGUCCUGCCUUGCUCCUGUGAUGCCUUGCCGGCUCCCUGCUACAUAAAAUGGAAUUUUCAGCCCUCACCCGAGUGAACUCCCUGUGGGUUAUUGUCCAAAUCUCUCCACGGGAUAUGAGGCAGCUCUCUCCACUGGCGAGGGAGGAUGGGGAGUAAGAAUGAAGAGGAGAGAAAGAGAAUGAGAGGAGGGCCUCACAGCUGGAGGAGAUGAGAACUAAGGUUCUCAAGCUACUAUUGUUGCAUCAGUCUCCUCUCUCCGUGCCUCUACAGUGUGUGAUGUCUUUCCACUCCAAUGCAACUUUCAAAGCCAAACCAUUUAUGAGAUGUUGUUCCAGAUGUGAUGCUGGGAACUGUGGCAACCGUGAGGGCACUAGUCUAAGGACCAAGCUGACACCCUGCGGAUGGAAGAACCUGGGUCCUCGUGCUGUGGUUAAGCCCUGAGUUAGCCAACCCUAGAACCUUCCCACCCUGGGACUUCUUGUUACAUGAGAUAGUAGAUGUUAUUAUUAUUUGAACCAUGCAAACCAGAGUUUUCUGCUGCUUGUUGUCCAUUGCAUCCUAACUGAUAUCACCUCAGGGCAUCUCAUGGCUCCUUCUCAUCAUAUAAGGGUCAGGACAAAUGUCCCCUCCUCAGAAAGUCCUUUUCCAGCCACCCUAAGGAAAUAACCUGCAAUGUCCCCCUCCUUGCAUUGGUUGCUGUUACUAGCGUGCAUAUCUGUAAUAAUCUUGCUAGGCAGGCUCCCUCACUUGAGUAUAAGUUCCCUGAGAUUAAGAGCAUUAAGAGCAUUCUGUCAC